CCUACGGGAGGCAGCAGUGGGGGAUAUUGCACAAUGGGGGAAACCCUGAUGCAGCGACGCCGCGUGAGUGAAGAAGUAUUUCGGUAUGUAAAGCUCUAUCAGCAGGGAAGAAAAUGACAGUACCUGACCAAGAAGCGCCGGCUAACUACGUGCCAGCAGCCGCGGUAAUACGUAGGGGGCAAGCGUUAUCCGGAUUUACUGGGUGUAAAGGGAGCGUAGACGGUUAUGUAAGUCUGGAGGGAAAGCCCGGGGCCCAACCCCGGGACUGCUUUGGAAACUGUGUAACUGGAGUGCAGGAGGGGCAGGCGGAAUUCCUGGUGUAGCGGUGAAAGGCGUAGAUAUCAGGAGGAACACCGGCGGCGAAGGCGGCCUGCUGGACUGAAACUGACGUUGAGGCUCGAAAGCGUGGGGAGCAAACAGGAUUAGAUACCCCGGUAGUC
Molecule: ribosomal RNA, 440 nt
Filed under: uncultured bacterium
Lineage: Bacteria
Description: partial 16S ribosomal RNA
Rfam family: Bacterial small subunit ribosomal RNA
Source: RNAcentral